CCUACGGGUGGCAGCAGUGGGGAAUAUUGGACAAUGGGGGGAACCCUGAUCCAGCCAUGCCGCGUGUGUGAAGAAGGCCCUUGGGUUGUAAAGCACUUUCAGUGAGGAAGAACGCCUGGUGGUUAAUACCCAUCAGGAAAGACAUCACUCACAGAAGAAGCACCGGCUAACUCCGUGCCAGCAGCCGCGGUAAUACGGAGGGUGCGAGCGUUAAUCGGAAUUACUGGGCGUAAAGCGCGCGUAGGUGGCUUGAUAAGCCGGUUGUGAAAGCCCCGGGCUCAACCUGGGAACGGCAUCCGGAACUGUCAAGCUAGAGUGCAGGAGAGGAAGGUAGAAUUCCCGGUGUAGCGGUGAAAUGCGUAGAGAUCGGGAGGAAUACCAGUGGCGAAGGCGGCCUUCUGGACUGACACUGACACUGAGGUGCGAAAGCGUGGGUAGCAAACAGGAUUAGAUACCCUAGUAGUC
This 465-nucleotide ribosomal RNA is filed under the name Vreelandella stevensii. Its description in RNAcentral is "partial 16S ribosomal RNA". It matches the Rfam family "Bacterial small subunit ribosomal RNA", at positions 338 to 795 of the family's 1533-position model. The record is from RNAcentral. Lineage: Bacteria; Pseudomonadati; Pseudomonadota; Gammaproteobacteria; Oceanospirillales; Halomonadaceae.